Molecule: long non-coding RNA, 230 nt
Filed under: Mytilus galloprovincialis (Mediterranean mussel)
Lineage: Eukaryota; Metazoa; Mollusca; Bivalvia; Mytilida; Mytilidae
Source: RNAcentral
GUGUGUUGAACCUGGUUUUGUGGCUAGCCAAAACUCCCGCUUUUAUGCAAUGUAAAAUAUUACACUAAAAUUACAACAUUACAUGACAUGAUAUCAAUGCAAAUAAAUGGAAAACCAUUUAAGACAACACAAUAGAACAUUACGACAUGUUAAUAGUUAUUAACGGUACCAUGAGUCGAUUUCACAAAAAACUUACGACUAAGAUUUGUCUUAAGUCAUGAACAAAUCAG